RNAcentral lists this ribosomal RNA (426 nucleotides) under uncultured bacterium. Its description in RNAcentral is "bacterial SSU rRNA". It matches the Rfam family "Bacterial small subunit ribosomal RNA", at positions 34 to 507 of the family's 1533-position model. The record is from RNAcentral.
CGCUGGCGGCAUGCCUAACACAUGCAAGUCGACGAACCCUUCGGGGUUAGUGGCGCACGGGUGCGUAACACGUGGGAAUCUGCCCUUUGCUUCGGAAUAACAGUUAGAAAUGACUGCUAAUACCGGAUGAUGUCGUAAGACCAAAGAUUUAUCGGCAAAGGAUGAGCCCGCGUAGGAUUAGGUAGUUGGUGGGGUAAAGGCCUACCAAGCCGACGAUCCUUAGCUGGUCUGAGAGGAUGAUCAGCCACACUGGGACUGAGACACGGCCCAGACUCCUACGGGAGGCAGCAGUGGGGAAUAUUGGACAAUGGGCGAAAGCCUGAUCCAGCAAUGCCGCGUGAGUGAUGAAGGCCUUCGGGUUGUAAAGCUCUUUUACCAGGGAUGAUAAUGACAGUACCUGGAGAAUAAGCUCCGGCUAACUCCGUG